This 358-nucleotide unclassified non-coding RNA is filed under the name fungal sp. RNAcentral's name for it is "partial internal transcribed spacer region". The stretch from base 1 to 46 matches the Rfam family "Eukaryotic small subunit ribosomal RNA", at positions 1786 to 1831 of the family's 1831-position model. The record is from RNAcentral. Lineage: Eukaryota; Fungi.
AAGUCGUAACAAGGUUUCCGUAGGUGAACCUGCGGAAGGAUCAUUAACACGUAUCCACGUACCAACCAACUGUGCUUGUUUAUCUAUCCCCCAUGCUGUCGACUGACAACAGAACACAGUAUGGGACAGCGAGACAAGCAGAGUGGAACGAGUGUCUAACCACAUUCUCUCUUCUCUGUUUGUUUCAUUACAUUUUCACUUUUUUCACCCCGUGAUACCCCAUUUGUUGUUUGCUGCUAGACAGUGAGUGUGAGUGAUUGAUAUGUUUCAUACAUGUUCUUUCUCUCUUCUCUCUUUCUUGCUUGAUUUGAUUUAUUUCAACUGCAUACAACUCUUAGCAAUGGAUAUCUUGGUUCUC